UUUGGCUCGGGGGUCGAUGAAGAACGGAGCUAACUCUGUGAUGCCGUGUGAACUGCAGGACACAUGAACAUCGACACUUUGAACGCAUAUUGCGGAAAUAAGCUUGUCUUGUUUCCAUAUCUGACUCAGGGUCGGUUAAACAUCCRUCAGACAGCUUGCUGUUUGCAUUGGGCUGCCGCUAUGCCUCGGCACAGCGUCGCUCCAAGGUACGCCGUACGGAGUUCACAGACUCGACUCUUGGGAACUUGUGUCCUGGGUUGCUGACGUGGCCGUAUGCGCUUGGUGCCGGGACUAGACUGACUGUCUCGUAAGCGCCUCCRAACUUUACUUUCGACCUGAGAUUAGAUAAGAUUACCCGCCGAAUUUAAGCAUAUUAAUAAGCGGAGGAAAAGAAAACAACUGUGAUUCCCUUAGUAAUGGCGAAUGAA
RNAcentral lists this ribosomal RNA (428 nucleotides) under Nannocalanus minor. Its description in RNAcentral is "eukaryotic LSU rRNA". The record is from RNAcentral. Lineage: Eukaryota; Metazoa; Arthropoda; Copepoda; Calanoida; Calanidae.